Molecule: ribosomal RNA, 860 nt
Filed under: uncultured bacterium
Lineage: Bacteria
Description: bacterial SSU rRNA
Rfam family: Bacterial small subunit ribosomal RNA
Source: RNAcentral
GUUUGAUCAUGGCUCAGAGCGAACGCUGGCGGCGUGCUUAACACAUGCAAGUCGAACGAGACCUUCGGGUCCAGUGGCGGACGGGUGAGUAACGCGUGGGAAUCUGCCUAGCGGCGGGGAAUAACAGUUGGAAACGACUGCUAAUACCGCAUACGCCCCAUGGGGGAAAGGCUUCGGCCACCGCUAGAGGAGCCCGCGUCCGAUUAGCUAGUUGGUGAGGUAACGGCUCACCAAGGCGACGAUCGGUAGCUGGUCUGAGAGGAUGAUCAGCCACACUGGGACUGAGACACGGCCCAGACUCCUACGGGGGGCAGCAGUGGGGAAUAUUGGACAAUGGGGGAAACCCUGAUCCAGCGACGCCGCGUGGGUGAUGAAGGCCUUCGGGUUGUAAAGCCCUUUCGUCCACGAUGAUGAUGACAGUAGUGGAAGAAGAAGCUCCGGCUAACUUCGUGCCAGCAGCCGCGGUAAUACGAAGGGGGCUAGCGUUGCUCGGAAUUACUGGGCGUAAAGCGCACGUAGGCGGCCAUGAUAGUCAGAUGUGAAAGGCCUGGGCCCAACCCGGGAAUUGCAUUUGAUACUGCAUGGCUAGAGUCCAAGAGAGGGUAGUGGAAUUCCCAGUGUAGAGGUGAAAUUCGUAGAUAUUGGGAAGAACACCAGUGGCGAAGGCGGCUACCUGGCUUGGUACUGACGCUCAGGUGCGAAAGCGUGGGGAGCGAACAGGAUUAGAUACCCUGGUAGUCCACGCCGUAAACGAUGGGUGCUAGAUGUCGGGCAGCUUGCUGUUCGGUGUCGUAGCUAACGCGUUAAGCACCCCGCCUGGGGAGUACGGCCGCAAGGUUAAAACUCAAAUGAAUUGACGG